CACAUGCAAGUCGAGCGUGAAAGGGGCUUCGGCCCUGAGUAAAGCGGCGCACGGGUGAGUAACACGUGAAUAAUCUGCCCUUAUGACCGGGAUAACAGACCGAAAGGACUGCUAAUACCGGAUAAGCUUCCGCGCAACCGGGCGAGUGGGAAAGAACGGGACCUUCGGGCCGUUCGCAUGAGGAUGAGUUCGCGUUCCAUUAGAUAGUUGGUGAGGUAAUGGCUCACCAAGUCGACGAUGGAUAGCUGGUCUAAGAGGAUGAUCAGCCACACUGGAACUGAGACACGGUCCAGACUCCUACGGGAGGCAGCAGUGGGGAAUCUUGCGCAAUGGAGGAAACUCUGACGCAGCCAUGCCGCGUGAGUGAAUGAAGGCCCUCGGGUUGUAAAGCUCUGUCUAAGGGGACGAAUGGCGUUAUGAACAAGACACAUGACGAUUGACGGUACCCUUAAAGAAAACACCGGCUAACUCCGUGCCAGCAGCUGC
This 486-nucleotide ribosomal RNA is filed under the name uncultured bacterium. RNAcentral's name for it is "bacterial SSU rRNA". It matches the Rfam family "Bacterial small subunit ribosomal RNA", at positions 52 to 518 of the family's 1533-position model. The record is from RNAcentral.